This is a long non-coding RNA of Biomphalaria glabrata, 1272 nucleotides long. RefSeq lists it as uncharacterized. Lineage: Eukaryota; Metazoa; Mollusca; Gastropoda; Planorbidae. The record is from RefSeq and is a predicted model, not a curated record. The transcript has 2 exons.
UCCGAACGACAGUCCAGCGUGCAAACCGCACGACCAGGCAGCCAUCCUGCCAUGCUUUUUGUAAUAUAUUCCAUAAGUAGGAGAAAAAACCUGCGAUGAUUCAGCAAGGGUAAACCCUAGCUGAUUGAUUAUUUUACCACUUAUCUUUAAUUCGUCUACUUGGGCUGGAAGUCACAAUAUGAACCUGUUCAUUUUUAUCGUGUGCCCAAAAACGAUUUGUAUUCGCAUUGACAGGCGUUGAUAAACAUUCACUGAUGUUGCUGAUGAGAAACAUUGACAACUGCUCAAGAUAGUGUUGGCCUCCUUCGUAACGUAACUUUGGUUCAUCUCGUAAACACUUUUUCAUGUGACUGUGGAGCCCUAUUUUGGAGAGACACUCCCGUCCACAUAUAUCGCAGGUUAACGUGACUUUUGCUUCGAUGGUAGAGGAGCCGGCCAUUUUUUGUUUGGCACAUUUUUCUUACAGAGCUGAGGUCCAUAUUUUGUACUGUCCAUAGUUUUCUUGUUCACCAUCUCUCCCCCCAUCUAGCGAACAUGACCAAGCCAGCGCAGACGCCGUUGUCUGAAGAUUGCGAAGAUGCUGGGAAGACCCGUUAGAUCUUGUCAUGUGACUUUCAAGAUCCAUUGGAGGCAGCUCAAGUGGAACGAAUUAAGUUUUCUCUUUUGCUUUGCAUAGGUAGUCAACUACUCACUGCCGCACAGUAGCGUGCUCAAAACGUGUGCCUUGUUGAUGCAGACUUACCCAUGAGAGAUACAGGUCAUCUUCAGUUGUGUUUCUAGUUCAUGACUAGUGAAAGAUCGUGAUGUUAUUUAACAUUGUUACAUGGUCGUGUUAUAAGAUACUUACAGAAGCCAUUUUUUUCUUGGAUUUAAUUCAAUUAAUCGUUAAGAAUUGUCAUUUUGUUCGGAAUCACAUUGGACAUAGUAUACUAUUAUACGAAGUAAGAAACACAUCAACACUAAUGUCUAGGAAUGGCGCUGAUAGAUGAGUCGGGUCAACUUCAGAUAAUCUACUUCCUGAUGUGGUCAAUGGUCUACUCUACUGUUAGAAUCAGGAUGGAGAAAUGUUUAGAGUAUUAAUGAAAAGACAAGUAAUGAAUGUAGUUUUUGCCAUGACAUCAAACUGGAAAAACACCUCUUACGUGACUAUAGGCUUACAAAUAUGGACACCUCUUCAUGAAUCAACAGGCCUAAUUAAACAUUUGUGCACCAUCUUAUGAUUGAUUUAUUAGGAACUAUGGAAGAGAAAUAAAAAAAUUUUAUUUGCCGAUG